This 353-nucleotide ribosomal RNA is filed under the name uncultured Ruminococcus sp. RNAcentral's name for it is "bacterial SSU rRNA". It matches the Rfam family "Bacterial small subunit ribosomal RNA", at positions 9 to 339 of the family's 1533-position model. Lineage: Bacteria; Bacillati; Bacillota; Clostridia; Eubacteriales; Oscillospiraceae. The record is from RNAcentral.
AGUAGUUUGAUCAGUGGCUCGAGGACGAACGCUGGCGGCGUGCCUAACACAUGCAAGUCGAACGGAACUAUUUUGACAGAUUCCUUCGGGAUGAUGGAUUUUUAGUUUAGUGGCGGACGGGUGAGUAACGCGUGAGUAACCUGCCUCUAAGAGGGGAAUAACGUUCUGAAAAGAUCGCUAAUACCGCAUAACAUAUUGAAGCCGCAUGACUUUGAUAUCAAAGAUUUAUCGCUUAGAGAUGGACUCGCGUCCGAUUAGCUUGUUGGCGGGGUAAUGGCCCACCAAGGCGACGAUCGGUAGCCGGACUGAGAGGUUGAACGGCCACAUUGGGACUGAGACACGGCCCAGACUCC